UAGGGAAUCUUCCGCAAUGGACGCAAGUCUGACGGAGCAACGCCGCGUGAGUGAAGAAGGAUUUCGGUUCGUAAAACUCUGUUGUUAGAGAAGAACAGCGCAUAGAGUAACUGUUAUGCGUGUGACGGUAUCUAACCAGAAAGCCACGGCUAACUACGUGCCAGCAGCCGCGGUAAUACGUAGGUCCCGAGCGUUGUCCGGAUUUAUUGGGCGUAAAGCGAGCGCAGGCGGUUAGAUAAGUCUGAAGUUAAAGGCAGUGGCUCAACCAUUGUAGGCUUUGGAGACUGUUUAACUUGAUUGCAGAAGGGGGGAGUAGAAUUCCAUGUGUAGCGGUGAAAUGCGUAGAUAUAUGGAGGAACACCAGUGACGGAGGCGACUCUCUGGUCUAUAGCUGACGCUGAAGCUCGAAAGCGUGAGUAGCAAGCAGG
RNAcentral lists this ribosomal RNA (428 nucleotides) under Bacteroidota bacterium. RNAcentral describes it as "Bacteroidetes bacterium partial 16S ribosomal RNA". It matches the Rfam family "Bacterial small subunit ribosomal RNA", at positions 355 to 776 of the family's 1533-position model. The record is from RNAcentral. Lineage: Bacteria; Pseudomonadati; Bacteroidota.